GAAAUGCGAUAAGUAAUGUGAAUUGCAGAAUUCAGUGAAUCAUCGAAUCUUUGAACGCACAUUGCGCCCGUCAGCAUUCUGGCGGGCAUGCCUGUUCGAGCGUCAUUUCAUCCCUCAGGACCCCCCUUUCGCGGGGAGGGACCUGGCGUUGGGGAUCGGCCCGCCCCCCGCGGCGGCGCCGUCCCCGAAAUCUAGUGGCGGUCUCGCUGCAGCCUCCCCUGCGUAGUAGUUACAACCUCGCAUCGGAGCGCGGCGCGGCCACGCCGUAAAACCCCCGACUUUCUGAACGUUGACCUCGGAUCAGGUAGGAAUACCCGCUGAACUUAAGC
This 329-nucleotide unclassified non-coding RNA is filed under the name plant metagenome. RNAcentral's name for it is "partial contains 5.8S ribosomal RNA, internal transcribed spacer 2, and large subunit ribosomal RNA". The stretch from base 1 to 105 matches the Rfam family "5.8S ribosomal RNA", at positions 50 to 154 of the family's 154-position model. The record is from RNAcentral.